RNAcentral lists this ribosomal RNA (253 nucleotides) under uncultured bacterium. Its description in RNAcentral is "partial 16S ribosomal RNA". It matches the Rfam family "Bacterial small subunit ribosomal RNA", at positions 524 to 776 of the family's 1533-position model. The record is from RNAcentral.
UACGAAGGGGGCUAGCGUUGCUCGGAAUCACUGGGCGUAAAGCGCACGUAGGCGGAUUGUUAAGUCAGGGGUGAAAGCCUGGAGCUCAACUCCAGAAUUGCCUUUGAUACUGCAUGGCUUGAAUCCAGGAGAGGUGAGUGGAAUUCCGAGUGUAGAGGUGAAAUUCGUAGAUAUUCGGAAGAACACCAGUGGCGAAGGCGGCUCACUGGACUGGUAUUGACGCUGAGGCGCGACAGCGUGGGGAGCGAACAGG